GCCCUCGUGGUGUAAUGGAUAACAUAUCUGUCUUCGGAACAGAGGAUUCCAGGUUCGAGUCCUGGCGAGGGCGCCA
Molecule: transfer RNA, 76 nt
Filed under: bacterium
Lineage: Bacteria
Description: tRNA-Arg
Rfam family: tRNA
About the family: Transfer RNA (tRNA) molecules are approximately 80 nucleotides in length.
Source: RNAcentral